Phodopus roborovskii (desert hamster) is the source of this 105-nucleotide small nuclear RNA. NCBI's taxonomy places the organism in Eukaryota, Metazoa, Chordata, Mammalia, Rodentia, Cricetidae. The record is from RefSeq and is a predicted model, not a curated record.
AUGCUUGUUUUAGCAGUAUAUAUACUAAAAUUGAAACGAUGCAGAAAUUAGCAUGGUCCCUUCGCAAGUAUGACAUGAAAACAUAUUAAAAAAAAAAAAAAAUCU